RNAcentral lists this unclassified non-coding RNA (383 nucleotides) under Hevea brasiliensis (rubber tree). The record is from RNAcentral. Lineage: Eukaryota; Viridiplantae; Streptophyta; Magnoliopsida; Malpighiales; Euphorbiaceae.
GGGCUAGUUAAAUCAGCUGACUCAGGCUUCAACGAUUUCCUAGGGAGUUUGCUCAAGAUUUGCUUCAACAUGGCGAAAGAUUAAAACUUUAUCUUCUCCUUUGUUAUAUUCCCCCAAAAGGAAUACAAAUCAAGGACAGUGUGUCAGAUCAUGGCCAUUGGAGAUGGAUCUGAAGGGGAUUGAAAGAAUGUGGUCAGAUCCAAAGGUUUGAGAUUUGUUGAAAGGCGAAGAAAAAGCCAGUGCCUUGAAGCACAUUUAGGUGAGAGAGAGAUAUCAGACCUUCACCAAAAAAAAAAUCACAGCCAGCAAAUGGGUUUUUACUUUCAAGUGCAUAAAACAAAACCCAUUAGUAAUUAGUCUCAUUUUGGAAGGAAGGAACAGAC